GUGACGAAGCGACGCCGCGUGUGGGAAGAAGGCCUUCGGGUUGUAAACCACUGUCGGGAGUUAAGAAAUGUAAGGGUGUUAAUAGCAUCCUUACUUGACGUUAGCUCCGGAGGAAGCCACGGCUAACUCUGUGCCAGCAGCCGCGGUAAUACAGAGGUGGCAAGCGUUGUUCGGAAUUAUUGGGCGUAAAGAGCACGUAGGCGGCCCUGCAAGUCAGCUGUGAAAUCCUUCUGCUCAACGGAAGAACGGCAGUUGAUACUACAGGGCUCGAGUGCGGGAGGGGAGAGUGGAACUUCUGGUGGAGCGGUGAAAUGCGUAGAUAUCAGAAGGAACAUCGGCGGCGAAAGCGACUCUCUGGCCCGUAACUGACGCUGAGGUGCGAAAGCUAGGGGAGCAAACGGGAUUAGAUACCCCGGUAGUCCUAGCCGUAAACGAUGGGCACUAAGUAGAGGGGUUUU
RNAcentral lists this ribosomal RNA (458 nucleotides) under uncultured bacterium. RNAcentral's name for it is "bacterial SSU rRNA". It matches the Rfam family "Bacterial small subunit ribosomal RNA", at positions 383 to 832 of the family's 1533-position model. The record is from RNAcentral.